RNAcentral lists this ribosomal RNA (274 nucleotides) under uncultured bacterium. RNAcentral's name for it is "partial 16S ribosomal RNA". It matches the Rfam family "Archaeal small subunit ribosomal RNA", at positions 473 to 747 of the family's 1478-position model. The record is from RNAcentral.
AAACCAGCACCUCAAGUGGUCAGGAUGAUUAUUGGGCCUAAAGCAUCCGUAGCCUGCUUUGUCAGUUUUCGGUUAAAUCCAUACGCUCAACGUAUGGGCUGCCGGAAAUACUGCAAAGCUAGGGAGUGCGAGAGGUAGACGGUACUCGGGAGGAAGGGGUAAAAUCCUUUGAUCUCUCGAUGACCACCUGUGGCGAAGGCGGUCUACCAGAACACGUCCGACGGUGAGGGAUGAAAGCUGGGGGAGCAAACCGAAUUAGAAACCCGAGUAGUCC